AUGAAGGCCUUAGGGUCGUAAAGCUCUUUCGCCAGGGAUGAUAAUGACAGUACCUGGUAAAGAAACCCCGGCUAACUCCGUGCCAGCAGCCGCGGUAAUACGGAGGGGGUUAGCGUUGUUCGGAAUUACUGGGCGUAAAGCGCGCGUAGGCGGAUCAGAAAGUUGGGGGUGAAAUCCCGGGGCUCAACCCCGGAACUGCCUUUAAAACUCCUGGUCUUGAGUUCGAGAGAGGUGAGUGGAAUUCCGAGUGUAGAGGUGAAAUUCGUAUAUAUUCGGAGGAACACCAGUGGCGAAGGCGGCUCACUGGCUCGAUACUGACGCUGAGGUGCUAAAGUGUGGGGAGCAAACAGGAUUAGAUACCCUGGUAGUCCACACCGUAAACGAUGAAUGCCAGUCGUCGGGUAGCAUGCUAUUCGGUGACACACCUAACGGAUUAAGCAUUCCGCCUGGGGAGUACGGUCGCAAGAUUAAAACUCAGAG
This 480-nucleotide ribosomal RNA is filed under the name Roseobacter denitrificans. Its description in RNAcentral is "bacterial SSU rRNA". It matches the Rfam family "Bacterial small subunit ribosomal RNA", at positions 408 to 906 of the family's 1533-position model. Lineage: Bacteria; Pseudomonadati; Pseudomonadota; Alphaproteobacteria; Rhodobacterales; Roseobacteraceae. The record is from RNAcentral.